Molecule: long non-coding RNA, 1588 nt
Filed under: Lupinus mutabilis
Lineage: Eukaryota; Viridiplantae; Streptophyta; Magnoliopsida; Fabales; Fabaceae
Description: partial ncRNA
Source: RNAcentral
GUCGUUUUUUACUCUAUCUAUCUCUCACAUUACAUAUUAUCCAUAUUCAUCUUAUCAGAAGCAGAAAGAAGAAAAAUCAAAAGUGGCAAUGGCAGCAGCAACAGCAGCUAUGGCUGCUCUUCAGAGCUCAAUGACCUCUCUCUCUCUAUCUUCCAACCCUUUCUUCGGACAAUCUCUCUCUCCUAUCACUCUCUCUCCUCUCUUGGUACACUACACUCUCUUCUCUACACCAAUUUCCUUUAUUUCAAUUCAAGUUUCAAUUUUGAUCAUUCUAUUCGCUUCCUUUAUCCCUGUAUUCUAAUGGGUCCUUGCAAUAUUUCCUUAGGUCCAUUUAGAAUCCAAGUUCAUGACCUCAUGGCUAUUAGCAUUUUAAUUGUAAAUUGGUGACUUGAAAUUUAUUUAAGUUUAUUUGAAAAUAUGUGGCUUCUUUUUCUUACUACACAGUCCUCAUUGAUGUUUUGAAUAUUAUGUCAUGUUCAAAUGUAUUUGUUUUAUUUGUCAUGUAAGUGUAUUUGUUUUACUACACAGUCCAAAUGGAGAGGUUGAUUACAGGAUUUGAAAGCUUGACUUUAUGGUCACUAAACACUUAUUGGGAAAAAUAAAAGGUUGAUUGGUAUAAUGAGAAAUAAUAUUGUAUAAUGUUCUGAUUUAAGUUAUUUGGUAUGGAUAAGGCUAUAAGAAAGAAUUGUGUUGUUUAUUGUUUGUAUCUGUUGCAAUUUGAUAUCACCAAAUGAAUUGUGAUUAGGCUUGUUUAUCUAUAAUAAGCCUUCUGCUAUAUUAUAUGAUGGAAAAUCUAAUGAUUCUUACUAUACUGUGUUCAUUUUUUCUGGUGCCUAUCUGCUUAGGUACUUUUCAAGCUAGCAUUUUGCUUAUUGAACUUUUCAGUUGAAGUUGUUUGCCAUAUCGUACUAAAGAAACAUAUUUUAAUGGCGUGUAAUGAAACUUUAAAGUCGUAUUAUUUGAGCGAUUUGGAGCCGUUCCUUAAAUUCUUAUUAUCUCAUUUGUCCAUUAUAUUAGCUUCCACAAACAUUGACAUUGCAGAAAAUAUUUGCUUGACAUUUUAUUUCCAUUGAUGAGUAUGAUAAAUUCAUGCUGUUUUUCUUGUCCUUUUUUAUUCUAUUUCUUAUCACCAUGUCUCCAAGAGAUGAAAUGUCUUGAUUUAAAAAAAUAUAAAGCCCACAAAUUUCUAGUUUCUCUUAAUUUCAUUUUGCUCAUCAUUUUGUUGCAACUUUCAAGAAUGCCCAGCAUUUCCUUAAAAAAUAGUAACUACAUUACGGAUAAAAAUUUCACUGGUGUAGCAACUGCAUUUUCCGAUAUCAUCGUGGACAUCAAUGCCCUAUUGUAAUGAAGGUUAAUUUGAUGUAGAUCCUAUAAGUUUAGCAGGCUAAUUUGAUAUUAUUUUAUGUUAUGAUGUGCAGAGUAAGUCCGUAGAGAAGCAAUGCCCUAUCGUAAUGAAGGUUAGUAUCCGUUUCAGCAACUAUUAUGAUUAUCAGUUUCAGGUUUAGUCAAAUUGAAAAUCAAAGUGGACAAAAAUUAGGGAUAGUAACAUGAGAACUUAAAAACACUCUAAUUUGAUUAGAAAUAUUUU